This 252-nucleotide ribosomal RNA is filed under the name uncultured bacterium. RNAcentral describes it as "partial 16S ribosomal RNA". It matches the Rfam family "Bacterial small subunit ribosomal RNA", at positions 524 to 776 of the family's 1533-position model. The record is from RNAcentral.
UACGAAGGGGGCUAGCGUUGCUCGGAAUCACUGGGCGUAAAGGGUGCGUAGGCGGGUCUUUAAGUCAGGGGUGAAAUCCUGGAGCUCAACUCCAGAACUGCCUUUGAUACUGAGAUCUUGAGUUCGGGAGAGGUGAGUGGAACUGCGAGUGUAGAGGUGAAAUUCGUAGAUAUUCGCAGGAACACCAGUGGCGAAGGCGGCUCACUGGCCCGAUACUGACGCUGAGGCACGAAAGCGUGGGGAGCAAACAGG